UCCCGCAACGAGCGCAACCCCUGCCUUUAGUUGCCACCAGGUUAAGCUGAGCACUCUAAAGGGACUGCCGGUGAAAAACCGGAGGAAGGUGGGGAUGACGUCAAGUCCUCAUGGCCUUUAUGUCCAGGGCUACACACGUACUACAAUGGACGGCACAAUGAGUUGCAAACCCGCGAGGGGGAGCCAAUCUCAAAAAACCGUUCUCAGUUCGGAUUGCAGUCUGCAAC
RNAcentral lists this ribosomal RNA (227 nucleotides) under uncultured Acidobacteriota bacterium. RNAcentral's name for it is "uncultured Acidobacteria bacterium partial 16S ribosomal RNA". It matches the Rfam family "Bacterial small subunit ribosomal RNA", at positions 1085 to 1311 of the family's 1533-position model. Lineage: Bacteria; Pseudomonadati; Acidobacteriota. The record is from RNAcentral.